AGUGAACGCUGGCGGUAGGCCUAACACAUGCAAGUCGAACGGCAGCACAGUAAGAGCUUGCUCUUACGGGUGGCGAGUGGCGGACGGGUGAGGAAUACAUCGGAAUCUACUUUUUCGUGGGGGAUAACGUAGGGAAACUUACGCUAAUACCGCAUACGACCUACGGGUGAAAGCAGGGGAUCUUCGGACCUUGAGCGAUUGAAGGAGCCGAUGUCGGAUUAGCUAGUUGGCGGGGUAAAGGCCCACCAAGGCGACGAUCCGUAGCUGGUCUGAGAGGAUGAUCAGCCACACUGGAACUGGGACACGGUCCAGACUCCUACGGGAGGCAGCAGUGGGGAAUAUUGGACAAUGGGCGCAAGCCUGAUCCAGCCAUACCGCGUGGGUGAAGAAGGCCUUCGGGUUGUAAAGCCCUUUUGUUGGGAAAGAAAAGCAGCAGGUUAAUACCCCGCUGUUCUGACGGUACCCAACGAAUAAGCACCGGCUAACUUCGUG
This 492-nucleotide ribosomal RNA is filed under the name uncultured bacterium. RNAcentral describes it as "partial 16S ribosomal RNA". It matches the Rfam family "Bacterial small subunit ribosomal RNA", at positions 29 to 507 of the family's 1533-position model. The record is from RNAcentral.